Molecule: non-coding RNA, 119 nt
Filed under: Comamonas aquatica
Lineage: Bacteria; Pseudomonadati; Pseudomonadota; Betaproteobacteria; Burkholderiales; Comamonadaceae
Also listed under: 1 other name
Description: TPP sequence
Rfam family: TPP riboswitch aptamer (THI element)
About the family: Vitamin B(1) in its active form thiamin pyrophosphate (TPP) is an essential coenzyme that is synthesised by coupling of pyrimidine and thiazole moieties in bacteria. The previously detected thiamin-regulatory element, thi box was extended, resulting in a new, highly conserved RNA secondary structure, the THI element, which is widely distributed in eubacteria and also occurs in some archaea.
Source: RNAcentral
ACGGCUGCUCCGGGGUGUGCGAAAGCGCUGAGAUGCGAACCGCUGUGAAAACAGUGGCCAGCGAACCCGACGAACUUGAUCCGGUUCAUACCGGCGGAAGAAGAGCGGGACCCUGAAGC